RNAcentral lists this ribosomal RNA (254 nucleotides) under uncultured bacterium. RNAcentral describes it as "partial 16S ribosomal RNA". It matches the Rfam family "Bacterial small subunit ribosomal RNA", at positions 524 to 776 of the family's 1533-position model. The record is from RNAcentral.
UACGUAGGGGGGCAAGCGUUGUCCGGAAUCAUUGGGCGUAAAGAGCGUGUAGGCGGCCUGGUAAGUCCGCUGUGAAAGUCCAGGGCUCAACCCUGGAAUGCCGGUGGAAACUGUCAGGCUCGAGUCCGGAAGAGGCGAGUGGAAUUCCUGGUGUAGCGGUGAAAUGCGCAGAUAUCAGGAGGAACACCAAUGGCGAAGGCAGCUCGCUGGGACGGUACUGACGCUGAGACGCGAAAGCGUGGGGAGCAAACAGG